Molecule: unclassified non-coding RNA, 245 nt
Filed under: uncultured soil eukaryote
Lineage: Eukaryota
Description: sequence contains 5.8S rRNA gene, ITS2, 28S rRNA gene
Source: RNAcentral
AACGCAUCUUGCACCUGUGCUCUGCACGGGUAUGCCUGUUUGAGAAUUGCUUCUCCAUUGCAGCUGUCUCCUUUUGUGUGCAGCGGCUGCAGACAUGGGGCGUCAGCUGUGGCUGCGUCCUGAAAUGUCCACUAGUGUCAAGCGCGAUAAACUGGGUUACCACCAGGAUCGUUUGCCACCAGGAAAGAAAAGUGUCUCAUCACAUCUACAAUCUCAAAUCAGGCAAGAUCACCCGCUGAACUUAA